UGCAGACAAAAUUCAAAGUGAUGAGAAUAAUACUGGAUUAUUAUUAAGUCAAAAAACAAAUUCAAGUUUAAGUCGAACUUCAAAUGCAGCAUCUGAUUUCGAAAAUGAUAUAGAGGUUUCACGGCAGCGAAAAAAACUUGAAAUAAUCACGUCUAAGCUUGCCAGUGCAUUGGAUCGUGCAAAUGUAAGUAGCAGAAAUGCUACUUACAUUGUAGCUGCUACUUUAAUCAGCGCGGGACUAGAUAUAAGUCAAUAUAAUUUGAGUCACUCAACCAUCCAUCGUCAGCGUGAAUUAGCGAGAAAAAGUACAAUGGCAAAUUUACAACAAAAUUUAAAAGUUGAUAAAUGCGUUUUACACUGGGAUGGGUAGAUAAUGCCUGACAUUGAAACGCGCCAAGACGUGGACAGAUUACCAAUCGUAUUAUCAGCUUUGGGACAAGAAAUACUACUUGGUGCUCUCAAAAUUGACUCUGGAACUGGGGAAAAUCAAGCCUCAGCAAUUAUUUCUGUCCUGAGUGAAUGGUCUAUCGCUAACAGUAUUACAGCAUUAUGUUUUGAUACUGCGGCUGUAAAUACAGGAAUUCACAGUGGUGAAUGUGUUCUCGUUGAACAAGCACUAAGAAGAGAGUUGACUUAUUUACCAUGCCGUCAUCACAUUAUUGAGCUAGUUUUAAGAUCCGCAUUUGAAACUUAUUGGCCUACAUCUUCAGGUCCAAAUGUUUCGAUUUUUACUCGGUUCAAAAACAAAUGGAGUGAUAUUGAUCAACAAAAAUAUACUACUGGGAUUUCAGACAGAGAAGUUCAAGAAGCCCUUGCAGAUAUAAAAGAUGAAAUCCUAAUACUUAUUGCUAAUUACUUACAAAUUUCGCAACCAAGAGGAGAUUAUAAGGAGCUUCUGGACUUAGCUCUGAUUUUUUUGGGAGCUUUGCCAUCUGACGGAGUAGUUUUAAAUAUCCUGGAGCUGUUCAUCAUGCAAGGUGGAUGGCAAAAGCGAUUUAUAAUUUAAAAAUAUUCAUGUUUAGAAAUCAGUUAAAGCUAACAAAGACCGAAAUUGUAGGAGUCCGUCAAAUUUGUAUUUUUGUGAUAAAAUUUCACAUAAAAGCGUGGUUUUCAGCAACGUCAGCGAUAACAGCGCCAAGUAAUGAUUUAAUGCUGAUAAAAAAUUUGCUUCUCGACAAAAAAAUUAAUUCAGCUGUUUCAAAAAAGACAUCUGAGAAAAUGGCUAAUCAUCUGUGGUACCUUUCUGAAGAAUUAGCAGCUUUGGCUUUAUUUGAUUCGAGAGUUUCACCGGAAAUAAAAAUUAGAAUGAUCAUUGGUAUUAUUUGAACGAUUUGGAUUGUCUACUGAGUUUCUUGAUGUCGACAUCACUUUAUGGGCUAGUCACAGAAGCUUUCAAGAAAAUAUUCAAUUUUUUAGUACAUUAAAAGUAGUGAAUGACGUUGCUGAGAGGAAUGUCGCAUUAAUUACUAAAUAUAAUCAGCAUUUAACUAACAGUGAAGAACAAUUUCAAGGUUUGCUACAAACGGUAAAAAAACAUAGAGAAGACUUUCCGAGCUGUUCUAAAAAAAACUUUAUGUAAAUUGUACUAUUGAAGGUAUAUUGACCAUAAAUUCGUAAUACAUCUGUAUUUUUUUAGCGCUGUUCAGUGAAAUUAGUCAGUAAUCAAUAAUUAAUAAAAACUUUUCAUCAAAAA
This 1693-nucleotide unclassified non-coding RNA is filed under the name Cotesia glomerata. Its description in RNAcentral is "uncharacterized LOC123261541, transcript variant X2". Lineage: Eukaryota; Metazoa; Arthropoda; Insecta; Hymenoptera; Braconidae. The record is from RNAcentral.